GAUGAACGCUGGCGGCGUGCUUAACACAAGCAAGUCGAACGGAAAGGCUCCUGCUUGCAGGGGUACUCGAGUGGCGAACGGGUGAGUAACACGUGGGUGAUCUGCCCUGCACUUCGGGAUAAGCCUGGGAAACUGGGUCUAAUACCGGAUAGGACGAUGGUUUGGAUGCCAUUGUGGAAAGUUUUUUCGGUGUGGGAUGAGCUCGCGGCCUAUCAGCUUGUUGGUGGGGUAAUGGCCUACCAAGGCGUCGACGGGUAGCCGGCCUGAGAGGGUGUACGGCCACAUUGGGACUGAGAUACGGCCCAGACUCCUACGGGAGGCAGCAGUGGGGAAUAUUGCACAAUGGGCGCAAGCCUGAUGCAGCGACGCCGCGUGGGGGAUGACGGCCUUCGGGUUGUAAACUCCUUUCGCUAGGGACGAAGCGCAAGUGACGGUACCUGGAGAAGAAGCACCGGCUAACUACGUG
RNAcentral lists this ribosomal RNA (466 nucleotides) under uncultured bacterium. RNAcentral describes it as "partial 16S ribosomal RNA". It matches the Rfam family "Bacterial small subunit ribosomal RNA", at positions 28 to 507 of the family's 1533-position model. The record is from RNAcentral.